RNAcentral lists this ribosomal RNA (406 nucleotides) under uncultured bacterium. RNAcentral's name for it is "partial 16S ribosomal RNA". It matches the Rfam family "Bacterial small subunit ribosomal RNA", at positions 30 to 526 of the family's 1533-position model. The record is from RNAcentral.
AUUGAACGCUGGCGGCAGGCCUAACACAUGCAAGUCGAACGAGUGGCGGACGGGUGAGUAAUGUCUGGGAAACUGCCUUAUGGAGGGGGAUAACUACUGGAAACGGUAGAUAAUACCGCAUACCAUCAGAUGUGCCCAGAUGGGAUUAGCUUGUUGGUGGGGUAACGUCUCACCAAGGCGACGAUCCCUAGCUGGUCUGAGAGGAUGACCAGGCACACUGGAACGGAGACACGGGCCAGACUCCUACGGGAGGCAGCAGUGGGGAAUAUUGCACAAGGGGCGCAAGCCUGAUGCAGACAUGGCGCGUGAAUGAAGAAGGCCUUCGGGUUGUAAAGUACUUUCAGCGGGGAGGCGUUACCCGCAGAAGAAGCACCGGCUAACUCCGUGCCAGCCGCCGCGGUAAUAC